GGACUACCGGGGUAUCUAAUCCUGUUCGCUCCCCACGCUUUCGCUCCUCAGCGUCAGUGAUGGCCCAGAGACCCGCCUUCGCCACCGGUGUUCCUCCUGAUAUCUGCGCAUUCCACCGCUACACCAGGAAUUCCAGUCUCCCCUGCCACACUCCAGCCAGCCCGUACCGGAAGCAGACCCGCCGUUGAGCAGCGGGCUUUCACUCCCGACGCGACAAGCCGCCUACGAGCCCUUUACGCCCAAUAAAUCCGGACAACGCUAGCACCCUACGUAUUACCGCGGCGGCUGGCAC
This 292-nucleotide ribosomal RNA is filed under the name uncultured bacterium. RNAcentral's name for it is "partial 16S ribosomal RNA". The record is from RNAcentral.